UACAGAGGGUGCAAGCGUUGUUCGGAAUUAUUGGGCGUAAAGCGCGUGUAGGCGGCUUUGCAAGUCGGGUGUGAAAGCCCUCAGCUCAACUGAGGAAGUGCGCCCGAAACUGCAGAGCUUGAGUGCCGGAGAGGGUGGCGGAAUUCCCCAAGUAGAGGUGAAAUUCGUAGAUAUGGGGAGGAACACCGGUGGCGAAGGCGGCCACGUGGACGGUAACUGACGCUGAGACGCGAAAGCGUGGGGAGCAAACAGG
RNAcentral lists this ribosomal RNA (253 nucleotides) under uncultured bacterium. RNAcentral describes it as "partial 16S ribosomal RNA". It matches the Rfam family "Bacterial small subunit ribosomal RNA", at positions 524 to 776 of the family's 1533-position model. The record is from RNAcentral.